UGACCAGCUCGCUCCAAAGCUGUCGAAUCGUGCCAAAACUAUAGCAUCAGAUCCUCACAAGCGCGCAUCUGACUCGUACGAUCAUGCAAAGACUCCAGCCGUCAGAUCCCCAUCGCAAGCAACGCCAGCCAUCCGAUCACGCAACCGAUCCAUGGGCUCGCCUGUGAGCCGUGAUAGAGCGUGGUCUACUAUGGACUGCAAAGUGUAAACGGGCCUGAGCCCGUGCUCACGCCUAUCUAGGCCGGCC
RNAcentral lists this long non-coding RNA (247 nucleotides) under Elaeis guineensis (African oil palm). RNAcentral's name for it is "long non-coding RNA (EGUI_LNC063751)". Lineage: Eukaryota; Viridiplantae; Streptophyta; Magnoliopsida; Arecales; Arecaceae. The record is from RNAcentral.